Molecule: long non-coding RNA, 1186 nt
Filed under: Ananas comosus (pineapple)
Lineage: Eukaryota; Viridiplantae; Streptophyta; Magnoliopsida; Poales; Bromeliaceae
Description: long non-coding RNA (ACOM_LNC020079)
Source: RNAcentral
UACUUUGCCAACUAGACUCCUACACUUUGUGAAAUAGUUAAAUAGACCUCUCUCUUCAAUUAAACUUACUAAUUAUACAGUCGUUUCAGUAGUACGUCUUGCAUAUAGUUAUUAUAUAAAUCUUCAAAAUACAAAAAUAAUUUGUUUUGAAUAUUCUGACACACAAAGAAAAGGAUCAAAAAUUGAUGUUAUUUUCGUCCGAUUCCUCAAUACUCCUAUUUAGUUAUCAAAAUUAGAAGAAAAAAUAUAUAUUUUUUUGAAAUCUUACAAAAUUAUGUGAACAACACGGGAUCAAAAUAGUUGUAUAAUUUAUAAGUUAGAUUGAGUAAAAUAGUAUACUGAAUAAUUGAAUAAAGUCUAGGAAAACUAAUUACCAAAAUUAAAAGUUUCAGAGUCUGUGUUUGUUAAAGAGUUAAAAUUUAGGGAUUCUCUAUACAUUUUUUUCUCCCCUCUUUUAAAUUAAAAGAAUGAUACUUCUAAGAGAAAUUUUAGGAAUACCCUAUUAUAUUGUUGAUGAGUUGUCGUACAUAUACGAAUGGGUGAGGGCUUAGGGCUUAGAGUUUAAUAAUAGUAUUUGAGGUUUAGUAAUUAAUAAUUAAGCUGUAAAAUGAUAUUGUCACAUCAUCAACAGUAUUGUAGGAUACACUUGGAGGUAUAUGUAGCAGGGGCUACUUUUCUAAAUGGGGCAAUUAUUUAUAAACUCUUGAAAAGUUUUCGACUUUUUGAUUUAUUCCUCUUAGAAGUCUAAUAUUGAAAAUAUCCUUUUUAUGUUCCAACCCAUUUCAAAUAUACCCCUAGAGUUAAAUAAUGAACUAUUAAAAUAGCUGUUAUUUUUAUGAAAUUACUAUUUUGCCUUUUCAAAUAUACCUUCGACUAUCACCAACUUUUUUUAUUUGUUCUUAAGUUAGAGGUACAGAAAGUAUUUUGAUUUUUGGUUUUUUCAAAUAUACUCUUCUACCAUUACCAAUAUUUCUUAUUUGCCCUUAAGUUAAGGGCAAAAGAGGUAUUUUUAAUUUUUUUUUUUAAUUCUAGUAGAUAUUUAACUCACAUUUAACCCAAGUUAACUUAACAUAUGGUAACUGUAGAUGUAUUUUGAAAUAAUGGAGAAACAUAUAAGGAAUAUAUUAGAAAAAAAAAUAUAAAAAAAUAAAAUAUUUUUCAAAUUUUGAGGAAUAUAUAGGUAAAU